GAAAAGAAAUCAACCGAGAUUCCCUUAGUAGUGGCGAGCGAACGGGGACCAGGCCAGUGUUCAGAAACAAUCAACCGGAAGCGUUUGGAAAGGCGCACCUUAGGGGGUGAUAGUCCCGUACGGGUACAGGUUGUUUUUGGGCCUUGAGUAAGGCGGGGCACGUGAAACCCUGUCUGAACGUGGGGAGACCACUCUCCAAGCCUAAGUACUCCUAUGCGACCGAUAGUGAACCAGUACCGU
Molecule: ribosomal RNA, 240 nt
Filed under: Cyclophora tenuis
Lineage: Eukaryota; Bacillariophyta; Fragilariophyceae; Cyclophorales; Cyclophoraceae
Description: partial Bacterial large subunit ribosomal RNA
Rfam family: Bacterial large subunit ribosomal RNA
Source: RNAcentral